GAUGAACGCUAGCGAUAGGCCUAACACAUGCAAGUCGAGGGGCAGCAUAGAGUAGCAAUACUUUGAUGGCGACCGGCGCACGGGUGAGUAACACGUAUGCAACCUACCUACAUCAGGGGAAUAACCCGGAGAAAUUCGGACUAAUACCGCAUAAUACAGGGAUGCCGCAUGGCAAUAUUUGUUAAAGAUUUAUCGGAUGUAGAUGGGCAUGCGUUCCAUUAGCUAGUUGGUGCGGUAACGGCUCACCAAGGCAACGAUGGAUAGGGGAACUGAGAGGUUUGUCCCCCACACUGGAACUGAGACACGGACCAGACUCCUACGGGAGGCAGCAGUGAGGAAUAUUGAGAGAUGGACGAUAGUCUGAACCAGCCAAAUCGCGUGAAGGAAGACUGCCCUACGGGUUGUAAACUUCUUUUGUACAGGAAUAAAAGACAUUACGUGUAAUGUAUUGCAUGUACUGUACGAAUAAGCAUCGGCUAACUCCGUGCCAGCCGCCGCGGUAA
RNAcentral lists this ribosomal RNA (503 nucleotides) under uncultured bacterium. RNAcentral describes it as "partial 16S ribosomal RNA". It matches the Rfam family "Bacterial small subunit ribosomal RNA", at positions 28 to 523 of the family's 1533-position model. The record is from RNAcentral.